This 886-nucleotide ribosomal RNA is filed under the name Melo melo. RNAcentral describes it as "12S ribosomal RNA". The stretch from base 466 to 879 matches the Rfam family "Microsporidia small subunit ribosomal RNA", at positions 752 to 1303 of the family's 1311-position model. Lineage: Eukaryota; Metazoa; Mollusca; Gastropoda; Neogastropoda; Volutidae. The record is from RNAcentral.
GAUAAGUUUGGUUCUGGCUUAAGCUGUAUAGUGUAAACUUGGGAAUACACAUGGUUUUUUUAGAAUAAGGCGAGGAAAAGAAAUUAAUAUUUAAAUUUGGUAGAAAAUAAAUUUAAAUAUAUUUUCUGUGGUAUUAUAUUAAAAACAUGCCUCGAGAAGUCCCGCUAACUCCAGUGUCUAAUAUUAAAUUAAGGGCGAGAGCUUGUGUUAGCCUAGUUUAAUAUGUCUGGUUAAUUUAGUGCCAGCAUCCGCGGUUAAACUAAGAGACGAAACUAUACAUAUAUAGGUUAAAAGGCAGUUAGGUAAAAAUUAAGUGUAGUAUAUUGAUUGCAUGUGCAGAAGUGGAAUUUGAACACAUGAUAAUAGAAUUUUAGUUACUUAUAAAACUGAAUCUGUGACAUCCUUGACGGAAACUGGGAUUAGAUACCCCAUUAUUCAAGGUUAUAAAUUAAUGUAAAUUUACCAGAGUACUACGAAUAAAAAGGUUUAAAACUCAAAGGGCUUGGCGGUGUUUUAGACUUAUCAGGGGAACCUGUCUCGUAAUCGAUAAUCCACGUUAUACCUGAUCUUUCUUGGCAAUUCAGUUUGUAUACCGUUGUCUGUAGGUAACUUUUAAGAAAAUAAAAGUUAGCAAGAUAAACUUGUUAGUUAAUACGUCAAAUCAAGGUGCAGUAUAUAGAGAGAUGAAGAUGGGUUACAGUUAUUUAUUUAUAACUACGGAUAGAUAGACUAAUGUCUAUUUUGAAGGAGGACUUGAAAGUAAGAAGGAUAUAUAAAAACAUUUUGAAUAUGGCUCUGAAACGUGCACAUAUCGCCCGUCGCUCUCCUUGAAAAAGGAGAUAAGUCGUAACAUAGCAGGGGUAAUGGAAAUUGUUCCUAGACUAGA